CCUACGGGUGGCAGCAGUCGAGAAUCAUUCACAAUGGGGGAAACCCUGAUGGUGCGACGCCGCGUGGGGGAAUGAAGGUCUUCGGAUUGUAAACCCCUGUCAUGUGGGAGCAAAUUAAAAAGAUAGUACCACAAGAGGAAGAGACGGCUAACUCUGUGCCAGCAGCCGCGGUAAUACAGAGGUCUCAAGCGUUGUUCGGAAUCACUGGGCGUAAAGCGUGCGUAGGCUGUUUCGUAAGUCGUGUGUGAAAGGCGCGGGCUCAACCCGCGGACGGCACAUGAUACUGCGAGACUAGAGUAAUGGAGGGGGAACCGGAAUGCUCGGUGUAGCAGUGAAAUGCGUAGAUAUCGAGAGGAACACUCGUGGCGAAGGCGGGUUGCUGGACAUUAACUGACGCUGAGGCACGAAGGCCAGGGGAGCGAAAGGGAUUAGAUACCCCAGUAGUC
Molecule: ribosomal RNA, 446 nt
Filed under: uncultured bacterium
Lineage: Bacteria
Description: partial 16S ribosomal RNA
Rfam family: Bacterial small subunit ribosomal RNA
Source: RNAcentral